GGCACUACGGUGCUGAAGCAACAAAUGCCCUGCUUCCAGGAAAAGCCUCUAAGCAUCAGGUAACAUCAAAUCGUACCCCAAACCGACACAGGUGGUCAGGUAGAGAAUACCAAGGCGCUUGAGAGAACUCGGGUGAAGGAACUAGGCAAAAUGGUGCCGUAACUUCGGGAGAAGGCACGCUGAUAUGUAGGUGAAGUCCCUCGCGGAUGGAGCUGAAAUCAGUCGAAGAUACCAGCUGGCUGCAACUGUUUAUUAAAAACACAGCACUGUGCAAACACGAAAGUGGACGUAUACGGUGUGACGCCUGCCCGGUGCCGGAAGGUUAAUUGAUGGGGUCAGCGCAAGCGAAGCUCUUGAUCGAAGCCCCGGUAAACGGCGGCCGUAACUAUAACGGUCCUAAGGUAGCGAAAUUCCUUGUCGGGUAAGUUCCGACCUGCACGAAUGGCGUAAUGAUGGCCAGGCUGUCUCCACCCGAGACUCAGUGAAAUUGAACUCGCUGUGAAGAUGCAGUGUACCCGCGGCAAGACGGAAAGACCCCGUGAACCUUUACUAUAGCUUGACACUGAACAUUGAGCCUUGAUGUGUAGGAUAGGUGGGAGGCUUUGAAGUGUGGACGCCAGUCUGCAUGGAGCCGACCUUGAAAUACCACCCUUUAAUGUUUGAUGUUCUAACGUGGACCCGUGAUCCGGGUUGCGGACAGUGUCUGGUGGGUAGUUUGACUGGGGCGGUCUCCUCCUAAAGAGUAACGGAGGAGCACGAAGGUUGGCUAAUCCUGGUCGGACAUCAGGAGGUUAGUGCAAUGGCAUAAGCCAGCUUGACUGCGAGCGUGACGGCGCGAGCAGGUGCGAAAGCAGGUCAUAGUGAUCCGGUGGUUCUGAAUGGAAGGGCCAUCGCUCAACGGAUAAAAGGUACUCCGGGGAUAACAGGCUGAUACCGCCCAAGAGUUCAUAUCGACGGCGGUGUUUGGCACCUCGAUGUCGGCUCAUCACAUCCUGGGGCUGAAGUAGGUCCCAAGGGUAUGGCUGUUCGCCAUUUAAAGUGGUACGCGAGCUGGGUUUAGAACGUCGUGAGACAGUUCGGUCCCUAUCUGCCGUGGGCGCUGGAGAACUGAGGGGGGCUGCUCCUAGUACGAGAGGACCGGAGUGGACGCAUCACUGGUGUUCGGGUUGUCAUGCCAAUGGCACUGCCCGGUAGCUAAAUGCGGAAGAGAUAAGUGCUGAAAGCAUCUAAGCACGAAACUUGCCCCGAGAUGAGUUCUCCCUGACUCCUUGAGAGUCCUGAAGGAACGUUGAAGACGACGACGUUGAUAGGCCGGGUGUGUAAGCGCAGCGAUGCGUUGAGCUAACCGGUACUAAUGAACCGUGAGGCUUAACCUUACAACGCCGAAG
This 1388-nucleotide ribosomal RNA is filed under the name Escherichia coli. RNAcentral's name for it is "partial 23S ribosomal RNA". It matches the Rfam family "Bacterial large subunit ribosomal RNA", at positions 1573 to 2925 of the family's 2925-position model. The record is from RNAcentral. Lineage: Bacteria; Pseudomonadati; Pseudomonadota; Gammaproteobacteria; Enterobacterales; Enterobacteriaceae.